CGAUUUUGUGUUGGUGUUUCGGUGGUGCUGAGAUUCUAAGGAAGUUGAGAUUAUGUGGUUAGUGGGGGGUUGAUAUUUGGUAUUUAUCUUAUUUUAUUUUAUUUUCUCUCCCCAAAAAUCCCUUAUUUCUUCCCGACGUUCUUUUUCUUCCAAACCAAAAAAAUCCCCAAUUUUGUUUUUUUUAUUUUCUUUACUCUUUGAUGGAAAGUUAAACUCAUUUCUUACGUUCUUUGUCUCUGCCUCUAAUCCUUGCUUUUGUGCGUUUCGAAC
RNAcentral lists this long non-coding RNA (270 nucleotides) under Gossypium raimondii (Peruvian cotton). Its description in RNAcentral is "long non-coding RNA (GRAI_LNC011296)". Lineage: Eukaryota; Viridiplantae; Streptophyta; Magnoliopsida; Malvales; Malvaceae. The record is from RNAcentral.